GUCCAUGCCGUAAACGUUGGGAACUAGGUGUGGGUCUCAUUCCACGAGAUCCGUGCCGCAGCUAACGCAUUAAGUUCCCCGCCUGGGGAGUACGGCCGCAAGGCUAAACUCAAAGGAAUUGACGGGGCCCGGCACAAGCGGCGGAGCAUGCGGAUUAAUUUGAUGCAACGCGAAGAACCUUACCAAGGCUUGACAUAUACCGGAAACAUUCAGAGAUGGAUGCCCCGCCAAGGUCGGUAUACAGGUGGUGCAUGGUUGUCGU
RNAcentral lists this ribosomal RNA (262 nucleotides) under uncultured bacterium. Its description in RNAcentral is "partial 16S ribosomal RNA". It matches the Rfam family "Bacterial small subunit ribosomal RNA", at positions 793 to 1055 of the family's 1533-position model. The record is from RNAcentral.